RNAcentral lists this ribosomal RNA (655 nucleotides) under Thaxterogaster porphyropus. RNAcentral's name for it is "eukaryotic LSU rRNA". The stretch from base 278 to 431 matches the Rfam family "5.8S ribosomal RNA". Lineage: Eukaryota; Fungi; Basidiomycota; Agaricomycetes; Agaricales; Cortinariaceae. The record is from RNAcentral.
AACAAGGUUUCCGUAGGUGAACCUGCGGAAGGAUCAUUAUUGAAAUAAACCUGAUGAGUUGCUGCUGGCUCUCUAGGGAGCAUGUGCACACUUGUCAUCUUUAUAUCUCCACCUGUGCACCUUUUGUAGACCUGGAUAUCUCUCUGAGUGCUUAGCACUUCAGGUUUGAGGAUUGACUUUAUUGUUCUCUCUUUAUAUUUCCAGGCCUAUGUUUCUUCAUAUACCCCAUUGUAUGUUAUAGAAUGUAGUAAAUAGGCCUUUGUGCCUAUAAAUAUACAACUUUCAGCAACGGAUCUCUUGGCUCUCGCAUCGAUGAAGAACGCAGCGAAAUGCGUUAAGUAAUGUGAAUUGCAGAAUUCAGUGAAUCAUCGAAUCUUUGAACGCACCUUGCGCUCCUUGGUAUUCCGAGGAGCAUGCCUGUUUGAGUGUCAUUAAUAUAUCAACCUCUUCAACUUUGUUGAGUGUUGGAUGUGGGGGUUUUUUUUGCUGGCCUCUCUCUCUGAGUUCAGCUCCCCUGAAAUACAUUAGCGGAACAAUUUGUUCAUUUGGCGUGAUAAUUAUCUAUGCUAUUGACAUGAAGCAGUUCAGCUUAUAACUGUCCAUUGACUUUGGACAAUUUUAUUAUUAAUGUGACCUCAAAUCAGGUAGGACUACC